Molecule: ribosomal RNA, 468 nt
Filed under: uncultured bacterium
Lineage: Bacteria
Description: partial 16S ribosomal RNA
Rfam family: Bacterial small subunit ribosomal RNA
Source: RNAcentral
GACGAACGCUGGCGGCGUGCUUAACACAUGCAAGUCGAACGGAAAGGCCCUGCUUUUGUGGGGUGCUCGAGUGGCGAACGGGUGAGUAACACGUGAGUAACCUGCCCUUGACUUUGGGAUAACUUCAGGAAACUGGGGCUAAUACCGGAUAGGAGCUCCUGCUGCAUGGUGGGGGUUGGUAAGUUUCGGCGGUUGGGGAUGGACUCGCGGCUUAUCAGCUUGUUGGUGGGGUAGUGGCUUACCAAGGCUUUGACGGGUAGCCUGCCUGAGAGGGUUACCGGCCACAUUGGGACUGAGAUACGGCCCAGACUCCUACGGGAGGCAGCAGUGGGGAAUAUUGCACAAUGGGCGGAAGCCUGAUGCAGCAACGCCGCGUGCGGGAUGACGGCCUUCGGGUUGUAAACCGCCUUCGCCUGUGACGAAGCGUGAGUGACGGUAAUGGGUAAAGAAGCACCGGCUAACUACGUG